This 443-nucleotide ribosomal RNA is filed under the name uncultured bacterium. RNAcentral's name for it is "partial 16S ribosomal RNA". It matches the Rfam family "Bacterial small subunit ribosomal RNA", at positions 338 to 795 of the family's 1533-position model. The record is from RNAcentral.
CCUACGGGGGGCAGCAGUGGGGGAUAUUGGACAAUGGGGGAAACCCUGAUCCAGCGACGCCGCGUGAGUGAAGAAGUAUUUCGGUAUGUAAAGCUCUAUCAGCAGGGAAGAAAGAAAUGACGGUACCUGAGUAAGAAGCCUCGGCUAACUACGGGCCAGCAGCAGCGGCAAUACGUAGGGGGCAAGCGUUAUCCGGAAUUACUGGGUGUAAAGGGAGCGUAGACGGUAAGGCAAGUCUGGAGUGAAAGGCGGCGGCCCAACCCCCGGACUGCUCUGGAAACUGUGUAACUGGAGUGCAGGGGAGGCAGGCGGAAUUCCUAGUGUAGCGGUGAAAUGCGUAGAUAUUAGGAAGAACACCGAUUGCGAAGGCAGCCUGCCGCAGCGUUACUGACGCUGAAGCUCGAAAGCGCGGGUAUCGAACAGGAUUAGAUACCCGUGUAGUC